This 500-nucleotide ribosomal RNA is filed under the name uncultured bacterium. RNAcentral describes it as "partial 16S ribosomal RNA". It matches the Rfam family "Bacterial small subunit ribosomal RNA", at positions 29 to 523 of the family's 1533-position model. The record is from RNAcentral.
AUUGAACGCUGGCGGCAUGCCUUACACAUGCAAGUCGAACGGCAGCACGGGUGCUUGCACCUGGUGGCGAGUGGCGAACGGGUGAGUAAUACAUCGGAACGUACCUUAUCGUGGGGAUAACGCAGCGAAAGCUGUGCUAAUACCGCAUACGCCCUGAGGGGGAAAGCGGGGGACCGCAAGACCUCGCGCGAUUAGAGCGGCCGAUGCCUGAUUAGCUUGUUGGUGGGGUAAAAGCCCACCAAGGCGACGAUCAGUAGCUGGUCUGAGAGGACGAUCCGCCACACGGGGACUGAGACAAGGCCCAGACUCCUACGGGAGGCAGCAGUGGGGAAUUUUGGACAAUGGGGGCAACCCUGAUCCAGCAAUGCCGCGUGAGUGAAGAAGGCCUUCGGGUUGUAAAGCUCUUUUGUCAGGGAAGAAACACCGGCUCUAACACAGUUCGGGAAUGACGGUACCUGAAGAAUAAGCACCGGCUAACUACGUGCCAGCCGCCGCUGUAA